This 89-nucleotide transfer RNA is filed under the name Siccirubricoccus deserti. RNAcentral describes it as "tRNA-Ala". The record is from RNAcentral. Lineage: Bacteria; Pseudomonadati; Pseudomonadota; Alphaproteobacteria; Acetobacterales; Roseomonadaceae.
GGCGCUGCUGGCCGUCGCGCAGCACUGGGCGCUGGCGGCGCUCGGGAUGCUGCUCUACGGCGCCUCCUGGAUCGCCGCCGGCAGCACCC